Molecule: ribosomal RNA, 497 nt
Filed under: uncultured bacterium
Lineage: Bacteria
Description: partial 16S ribosomal RNA
Rfam family: Bacterial small subunit ribosomal RNA
Source: RNAcentral
GAUGAACGCUGGCGGCGUGCCUAAUACAUGCAAGUCGAGCGAACAGACGAGGAGCUUGCUCCUCUGACGUUAGCGGCGGACGGGUGAGUAACACGUGGAUAACCUACCUAUAAGACUGGGAUAACUUCGGGAAACCGGAGCUAAUACCGGAUAAUAUAUUGAACCGCAUGGUUCAAUAGUGAAAGACGGUUUUGCUGUCACUUAUAGAUGGAUCCGCGCCGCAUUAGCUAGUUGGUAGGGUAACGGCUUACCAAGGCAACGAUGCGUAGCCGACCUGAGAGGGUGAUCGGCCACACUGGAACUGAGACACGGUCCAGACUCCUACGGGAGGCAGCAGUAGGGAAUCUUCCGCAAUGGGCGAAAGCCUGACGGAGCAACGCCGCGUGAGUGAUGAAGGUCUUCGGAUCGUAAAACUCUGUUAUUAGGGAAGAACAAAUGUGUAAGUAACUAUGCACGUCUUGAGGGUACCUAAUCAGAAAGCCACGGCUAACUACGUG